RNAcentral lists this ribosomal RNA (255 nucleotides) under uncultured soil bacterium. Its description in RNAcentral is "partial 16S ribosomal RNA". It matches the Rfam family "Bacterial small subunit ribosomal RNA", at positions 26 to 284 of the family's 1533-position model. The record is from RNAcentral.
AGGACGAACGCUGGCGGCGUGCUUAACACAUGCAAGUCGAACGGUGAAGCACCUUCGGGUGUGGAUCAGUGGCGAACGGGUGAGUAACACGUGGGCAACCUGCCCCUGACUUCGGAAUAACUUCGGGAAACCGAAGCUAAUACCGGAUACGACCUCGAGCGGCAUCGCUUGAGGUGGAAAGUUUUUCGGUCAGGGAUGGGCCCGCGGCCUAUCAGCUUGUUGGUGGGGUAAUGGCCUACCAAGGCGACUACGGGU